RNAcentral lists this ribosomal RNA (468 nucleotides) under uncultured bacterium. Its description in RNAcentral is "partial 16S ribosomal RNA". It matches the Rfam family "Bacterial small subunit ribosomal RNA", at positions 28 to 507 of the family's 1533-position model. The record is from RNAcentral.
GACGAACGCUGGCGGCGUGCUUAACACAUGCAAGUCGAACGGAAAGGCCCUGCUUUUGUGGGGUGCUCGAGUGGCGAACGGGUGAGUAACACGUGAGUAACCUGCCCUUGACUUUGUGAUAACUUCAGGAAACUGGGGCUCAUACCGGAUAGGAGCUCCUGCUGCAUGGUGGGGGUUGGAAAGUUUCGGCGGUUGGGGAUGGACUCGCGGCUUAUCAGCUUGUUGGUGGGGUAGUGGCUUACCAAGGCUUUGACGGGUAGCCGGCCUGAGAGGGUGACCGGCCACAUUGGGAUUGAGAUACGGCCCAGACUCCUACGGGAGGCAGCAGUGGGGAAUAUUGCACAAUGGGCGGAAGCCUGAUGCAGCAACGCCGCGUGCGGGAUGACGGCCUUCGGGUUGUAAACCGCUUUCGCCUGUGACGAAGCGUGAGUGACGGUAAUGGGUAAAGAAGCACCGGCUAACUACGUG